ACCGCAUGGUUCAAAAGUGAAAGACGGUCUUGCUGUCACUUAUAGAUGGAUCCGCGCUGCAUUAGCUAGUUGGUAAGGUAACGGCUUACCAAGGCAACGAUGCAUAGCCGACCUGAGAGGGUGAUCGGCCACACUGGAACUGAGACACGGUCCAGACUCCUACGGGAGGCAGCAGUAGGGAAUCUUCCGCAAUGGGCGAAAGCCUGACGGAGCAACGCCGCGUGAGUGAUGAAGGUCUUCGGAUCGUAAAACUCUGUUAUUAGGGAAGAACAUAUGUGUAAGUAACUGUGCACAUCUUGACGGUACCUAAUCAGAAAGCCACGGCUAACUACGUGCCAGCAGCCGCGGUAAUACGUAGGUGGCAAGCGUUAUCCGGAAUUAUUGGGCGUAAAGCGCGCGUAGGCGGUUUUUUAAGUCUGAUGUGAAAGCCCACGGCUCAACCGUGGAGGGUCAUUGGAAACUGGAAAACUUGAGUGCAGAAGAGGAAAGUGGAAUUCCAUGUGUAGCGGUGAAAUGCGCAGAGAUAUGGAGGAACACCAGUGGCGAAGGCGACUUUCUGGUCUGUAACUGACGCUGAUGUGCGAAAGCGUGGGGAUCAAACAGGAUUAGAUACCCUGGUAGUCCACGCCGUAAACGAUGAGUGCUAAGUGUUAGGGGGUUUCCGCCCCUUAGUGCUGCAGCUAACGCAUUAAGCACUCCGCCUGGGGAGUACGACCGCAAGGUUGAAACUCAAAGGAAUUGACGGGGACCCGCACAAGCGGUGGAGCAUGUGGUUUAAUUCGAAGCAACGCGAAGAACCUUACCAAAUCUUGACAUCCUUUGACAACUCUAGAGAUAGAGCCUUCCCCUUCGGGGGACAAAGUGACAGGUGGUGCAUGGUUGUCGUCAGCUCGUGUCGUGAGAUGUUGGGUUAAGUCCCGCAACGAGCGCAACCCUUAAGCUUAGUUGCCAUCAUUAAGUUGGGCACUCUAAGUUGACUGCCGGUGACAAACCGGAGGAAGGUGGGGAUGACGUCAAAUCAUCAUGCCCCUUAUGAUUUGGGCUACACACGUGCUACAAUGGACAAUACAAAGGGCAGCGAAACCGCGAGGUCAAGCAAAUCCCAUAAAGUUGUUCUCAGUUCGGAUUGUAGUCUGCAACUCGACUACAUGAAGCUGGAAUCGCUAGUAAUCGUAGAUCAGCAUGCUACGGUGAAUACGUUCCCGGGUCUUGUACACACCGCCCGUCACACCACGAGAGUUUGUAACACCCGAAGCCGGUGGAGUAACCUUUUAGGAGCUAGCCGUCGAAGGUGGGACAAAUGAUUGGGGUGAAGUCGUAACAAGGUAGCCGUAUCGGAAGGUGCGGCUGGAUCACCU
RNAcentral lists this ribosomal RNA (1358 nucleotides) under Staphylococcus aureus. Its description in RNAcentral is "bacterial SSU rRNA". It matches the Rfam family "Bacterial small subunit ribosomal RNA", at positions 185 to 1528 of the family's 1533-position model. Lineage: Bacteria; Bacillati; Bacillota; Bacilli; Caryophanales; Staphylococcaceae. RNAcentral also lists the same sequence under 3 other names. The record is from RNAcentral.